This 1885-nucleotide ribosomal RNA is filed under the name Vibrio cholerae. RNAcentral's name for it is "bacterial LSU rRNA". It matches the Rfam family "Bacterial large subunit ribosomal RNA", at positions 1 to 1921 of the family's 2925-position model. Lineage: Bacteria; Pseudomonadati; Pseudomonadota; Gammaproteobacteria; Vibrionales; Vibrionaceae. The record is from RNAcentral.
GUUGUAUGGUUAAGUGACUAAGCGUACACGGUGGAUGCCUGGGCAGUCAGAGGCGAUGAAGGACGUACUAACUUGCGAUAAGCGCAGAUAAGGCAGUAAGAGCCGUUUGAGUCUGCGAUUUCCGAAUGGGGAAACCCAACUGCAUAAGCAGUUACUGUUAACUGAAUACAUAGGUUAACAGAGCAAACCGGGGGAACUGAAACAUCUAAGUACCCCGAGGAGAAGAAAUCAACCGAGAUUCCGGUAGUAGCGGCGAGCGAACCUGGAUUAGCCCUUAAGCACUCGGUGAAGUAGGUGAACAAGCUGGAAAGCUUGGCGAUACAGGGUGAUAGCCCCGUAACCGACGCUUCAUCGAGCGUGAAAUCGAGUAGGGCGGGACACGUGAUAUCCUGUCUGAAUAUGGGGGGACCAUCCUCCAAGGCUAAAUACUCCUGACUGACCGAUAGUGAACCAGUACCGUGAGGGAAAGGCGAAAAGAACCCCUGUGAGGGGAGUGAAAUAGAACCUGAAACCGUGUACGUACAAGCAGUAGGAGCACCUUCGUGGUGUGACUGCGUACCUUUUGUAUAAUGGGUCAGCGACUUAUAUUCAGUGGCAAGGUUAACCGUAUAGGGGAGCCGUAGCGAAAGCGAGUCUUAACUGGGCGCUCAGUCUCUGGAUAUAGACCCGAAACCGGGUGAUCUAGCCAUGGGCAGGUUGAAGGUUGAGUAACAUCAACUGGAGGACCGAACCGACUAAUGUUGAAAAAUUAGCGGAUGACUUGUGGCUAGGGGUGAAAGGCCAAUCAAACUCGGAGAUAGCUGGUUCUCCCCGAAAGCUAUUUAGGUAGCGCCUCGGACGAAUACUACUGGGGGUAGAGCACUGUUAAGGCUAGGGGGUCAUCCCGACUUACCAACCCUUUGCAAACUCCGAAUACCAGUAAGUACUAUCCGGGAGACACACGGCGGGUGCUAACGUCCGUCGUGGAGAGGGAAACAACCCAGACCGCCAGCUAAGGUCCCAAAGUAUUGCUAAGUGGGAAACGAUGUGGGAAGGCUCAGACAGCUAGGAUGUUGGCUUAGAAGCAGCCAUCAUUUAAAGAAAGCGUAAUAGCUCACUAGUCGAGUCGGCCUGCGCGGAAGAUGUAACGGGGCUAAGCAAUACACCGAAGCUGCGGCAAUAUCUUUUAGAUAUUGGGUAGGGGAGCGUUCUGUAAGCCGUUGAAGGUGGAUCGUAAGGUUUGCUGGAGGUAUCAGAAGUGCGAAUGCUGACAUGAGUAACGACAAAGGGGGUGAAAAACCUCCUCGCCGGAAGACCAAGGGUUCCUGUCCAACGUUAAUCGGGGCAGGGUGAGUCGACCCCUAAGGUGAGGCCGAAAGGCGUAAUCGAUGGGAAACGGGUUAAUAUUCCCGUACUUCUGACUAUUGCGAUGGGGGGACGGAGAAGGCUAGGUGGGCCAGGCGACGGUUGUCCUGGUUCAAGUGCGUAGGCUUGAGAGUUAGGUAAAUCCGGCUCUCUCUAAGGCUGAGACACGACGUCGAGCUGCUACGGCAGUGAAGUCAUUGAUGCCAUGCUUCCAGGAAAAGCCUCUAAGCUUCAGAUAGUCAGGAAUCGUACCCCAAACCGACACAGGUGGUCGGGUAGAGAAUACCAAGGCGCUUGAGAGAACUCGGGUGAAGGAACUAGGCAAAAUGGUACCGUAACUUCGGGAGAAGGUACGCUCUUGAUGGUGAAGUCCCUCGCGGAUGGAGCUGACGAGAGUCGCAGAUACCAGGUGGCUGCAACUGUUUAUUAAAAACACAGCACUGUGCAAAAUCGCAAGAUGACGUAUACGGUGUGACGCCUGCCCGGUGCCGGAAGGUUAAUUGAUGGGGUUAGCGCAAGCGAAGCUCUUGAUCGAAGCCCC